Oryctolagus cuniculus (rabbit) is the source of this 2720-nucleotide non-coding RNA. Lineage: Eukaryota; Metazoa; Chordata; Mammalia; Lagomorpha; Leporidae. The record is from RefSeq and is a predicted model, not a curated record.
CUGCUUUCCAGGGCAAAUAAGCAGAGAGCUGGAUCAGAAGUGGAGAAUUGGUCACAGACUAGUGCUCACAUGGGAUGCGGGCAUGGCAGAUGACGGCUUUACCUACCAAGCUUCAUCAACUCCAUGAUACAUGUUAUCUUCCAGCAUUAUGGUAUGCUUUAUACCAGCUCACUCUUCAGUUGGUAAGAAUUAAGUGUUUGGUGGGAGUAUGACGAUAUUUGUAUACAGAAUGCAGAAGAUCCAGGCUCUACCCUCCUGAAAUGUAAGGCGCAGCAUGGCAGAAAAACAAAAGCACUCAAUUUCCAGUUGUACUUUUACAAGGUUCUUAAAACAGCAGAGAAAACUUGUAAUUUUGGAACUGAAAGGCCCUUACAGGUGACCUGGUCUAAUUCCCUCAUUUCACAAGUAAAGUCAACUGGGGUUAGCAGAGGUUAAAAGACUUGUUAACUUCAAACCUAUGUGCCCACAACAGUCUUCCUUCCACUAUGAUAGUAUGUUUUGCACUGAAGAAUGUACUGUUGGGGCCGGCACUGUGGCAUAGCAGGGAAAACUGCCAUCUGCAGUGCCAGCAUCCCAUAUGGGUGCCGGAUCUAGUCCUGGCUGCUCCACUUCUGAUCCCGCUCCCUGCUAAUGUGCCUGGGAAAGCAGCAGAUGGCCCAAAAACUUGGGCCCCCACACCCAAUUGGGAGAUCCAGAAGAAGCCCCUGGCUCCUGGCUUCUGAUUGGCCCAGCUAUGGCAGUUUGUGGAGUGAACCAGCAGAUGGAAGAUCUCUCUCUCUCUGUAACUCUACCUUUCAAGUAAAUGCAUAAAUCUUAAAAACAACAACACACACAAAAAAGGUACUAUUAAGGGGACCUAGAACAAAAACUUCUUAGAUUAGAUCAUUUAAUAGAAGUCACCAACAUGUAUUGAUUUGUUAGUAUAUGACAGGCAUUCUGCUGAGCACUGUAAUUUUUUUUUAAGUUUUAUUUUAUUUUGUAUGAAAGGUACAGUUAGAUGGAGGGAGAUACAGAGAGACUGAGAUCUUCCAUCUGCUGGUACAUUCCCGCAAACGGCCAUGGCUGGGCCAGGCCAAAGCCAGGAGCUAGAAGCUUCGUAGUGGGGGGGGUCUCCCACACUGGUACAGGGGCCCAAGGACUUGGGCCAUCUUCCCCUCCUUCCCAGGUGCACUAACAGGAAGCUGGAUGGGAAGCAGAGCAGUUGAGAUUCAAACAAGCACCAAUAUGGUUGUCAGCACCGCAAGCAGCAGCUUAACCCACUGUGCCACUACACUAGCCCCUGUAUUUUAAUCCUUAAAACAAUUUUGGGUAGGUACUGGUAGCCAGCUAUUAACAGUUCUACCUUAAUGUCAAACUAAGUUUAGAGAGGCUAAGUAAUCUAGCUGCCCACUACAAACAACUAGAAAGUUGAAGAGCUAGAAUGGAAUCCAAGUGUACUUUGGUUCUAAACUGAUCACACUUUAUGUUAGCAGGAAGCUAUACUUGAUAAUACUUUUCUAUCUCUGUAGCCUAUGCCACUAUAACACAAUCAUUGGAAUCUUUAAAUAACAAAUAAUAAAUUUUGUUUCUUGGUUCCUAGCCACUGAAUAGGAGCCUUUAAUGUACAUGUCCUUCUAAAUCACACACACGCAAACACACACAGAAACUAGAAAAAAGGGUAGAAGGCAGGCUACACUUGCCUUUUUACUUUACAGUAAAACUUCCUCUAGAGUAGGUGUCAAGGACAUUAACCUCCAAUGCGUUUCACAUUUGGCUAGGGAAAAGGCAGUAUCUCUUAGAUGUUCCUUUUCCUGGCUCCUUCUUCACCUUAACAUGUUCCAUCACUUAUUAUCCCAAAAAGAUAACUGCCAUUGACCUUUGAAGCUCUGCUUUACAGAAUCAACAAAGAGUGAAGAGUUCUAAUUUCAUGUAGUUACUCUAUAACUCCUAUAUGUUUUACAAUUCUCCCACACAUAAAAUCAAAGCAAUUCUUUUUUUUUUUUUUUUUUUGGACAGGUAGAGUUUACAGACAGUGUGAGAGACAGAAAGAGAGAAAGGUCUUCCUUCCGUUGGUUCACUUUCCAAAUGGCCGCAACAGCCAGAGCUACGCUGAUCCGAAGCCAGGAGCCAGGAGUUUCUUCCUGGUCUCCCAUGUGGGUGCAGGGGCCCAAGCACCUGGGCCAUCCUCCACUGCUAUCCCAGGCCACAGCAGAGAGCUGGACUGUAAGAGGAGCAACCGGGACUAGAACCCAGCACCCAUAUGGGAUGCCAGUGCUGCAGGCGGAGGAUUAACCUAGUGCACCACGGCGCCGGCCCCUACAAUUCACUUCUUAAAAUUGUGGUCUGAUAGUCUAAAUAGUGCCUGAGAUAGAAAGAUUAAUACAUUGCUGUUCCUGAAGAGGUCAGUCUACUAUCACUGUAUAAUCUCUUCUACUCAUUGUCUUUCCCCACUCCCCUUAAAAAAAAAAUAAAAAAGAGAAAUAUACUAAUGUUUUACUGCCUUUCCAGAAAAUCCUAUUAAUAUGACAUUACUCUUUCUCUGUGAGAGCUCUGCAAUCCCUUUUAGUAUGAUGAAAAUAGAACCACAUGAGGAGUAUCUUUUCUUGCUUUAAAAACCAAUUUAUUGAUAAUGGUAAUCAUUUCACAAGUAUGUAUAUAGCAAACCAUAUUGUAUACAACUUAAAAUAGAUACAAUUUUGUCAAUUAUAUUUCAAUAAAGCUGGAAAAAAGAUAAAAGUUUA